This 54-nucleotide ribosomal RNA is filed under the name uncultured bacterium. RNAcentral describes it as "partial 16S ribosomal RNA". The record is from RNAcentral.
UGGGCGCAAGCCUGAUCCAGCCAUGCCGCGUGAAGGAAGAAGGCCUUCGGGUUU